UAAAAGGCGCCUGAAUGAAAGGAUUAUUUUGAUAGAAUAAAUCAUGUAAAUAAAAAAAUUUACCCUUUUAA
This 71-nucleotide transfer RNA is filed under the name Holarthrothrips indicus. RNAcentral describes it as "tRNA-Ile". The record is from RNAcentral. Lineage: Eukaryota; Metazoa; Arthropoda; Insecta; Thysanoptera; Stenurothripidae.